This 76-nucleotide transfer RNA is filed under the name Klebsiella aerogenes. RNAcentral's name for it is "tRNA-Val". It matches the Rfam family "tRNA". From Rfam's summary of the family: Transfer RNA (tRNA) molecules are approximately 80 nucleotides in length. Their secondary structure includes four short double-helical elements and three loops (D, anti-codon, and T loops). Lineage: Bacteria; Pseudomonadati; Pseudomonadota; Gammaproteobacteria; Enterobacterales; Enterobacteriaceae. The record is from RNAcentral. RNAcentral also lists the same sequence under 12 other names.
GGGUGAUUAGCUCAGCUGGGAGAGCACCUCCCUUACAAGGAGGGGAUCGGCGGUUCGAUCCCGUCAUCACCCACCA